RNAcentral lists this ribosomal RNA (253 nucleotides) under uncultured bacterium. RNAcentral's name for it is "partial 16S ribosomal RNA". It matches the Rfam family "Bacterial small subunit ribosomal RNA", at positions 524 to 776 of the family's 1533-position model. The record is from RNAcentral.
GACAGAGGGUGCAAACGUUGUUCGGAAUUACUGGGCGUAAAGGGCGCGUAGGCGGUUGGAUAAGUCAGCUGUGAAAACCACGGGCUUAACUCGUGGCCUGCAGUUGAGACUGUCUGGCUUGAGUGUGGGAGAGGAGAGUGGAAUUCCUGGUGUAGCGGUGAAAUGCGUAGAUAUCAGGAGGAACACCGAUGGCGAAGGCAGGUCACUGGGCCGCAACUGACGCUGAGGAGCGAAAGCAUGGGGAGCGAACAGG